RNAcentral lists this ribosomal RNA (738 nucleotides) under Agromyces sp. RNAcentral's name for it is "bacterial SSU rRNA". It matches the Rfam family "Bacterial small subunit ribosomal RNA", at positions 79 to 827 of the family's 1533-position model. Lineage: Bacteria; Bacillati; Actinomycetota; Actinomycetes; Micrococcales; Microbacteriaceae. The record is from RNAcentral.
UUGCUCUGGGGGAUUAGUGGCGAACGGGUGAGUAACACGUGAGUAACCUGCCCUGGACUCUGGGAUAAGCGUUGGAAACGACGUCUAAUACCGGAUAGGACCUCUGACCGCAUGGUCGGGGGUGGAAAGUUUUUUCGGUCUGGGAUGGACUCGCGGCCUAUCAGCUUGUUGGUGAGGUAAUGGCUCACCAAGGCGUCGACGGGUAGCCGGCCUGAGAGGGUGACCGGCCACACUGGGACUGAGACACGGCCCAGACUCCUACGGGAGGCAGCAGUGGGGAAUAUUGCACAAUGGGCGCAAGCCUGAUGCAGCAACGCCGCGUGCGGGAUGACGGCCUUCGGGUUGUAAACCGCUUUUAGUAGGGAAGAAGGGCUUCGGCUUGACGGUACCUGCAGAAAAAGGACCGGCUAACUACGUGCCAGCAGCCGCGGUAAUACGUAGGGUCCGAGCGUUGUCCGGAAUUAUUGGGCGUAAAGAGCUCGUAGGCGGUUUGUCGCGUCUGCUGUGAAAACUGGAGGCUCAACCUCCAGCCUGCAGUGGGUACGGGCAGACUAGAGUGCGGUAGGGGAGAAUGGAAUUCCUGGUGUAGCGGUGGAAUGCGCAGAUAUCAGGAGGAACACCGAUGGCGAAGGCAGUUCUCUGGGCCGUAACUGACGCUGAGGAGCGAAAGCGUGGGGAGCGAACAGGAUUAGAUACCCUGGUAGUCCACGCCGUAAACGUUGGGCGCUAGAUGUGGGG